This is a non-coding RNA of Podarcis lilfordi (Lilford's wall lizard), 74 nucleotides long. The record is from the annotation of a GenBank genome assembly. NCBI's taxonomy places the organism in Eukaryota, Metazoa, Chordata, Lepidosauria, Squamata, Lacertidae.
GCCCUGAUAGCUCAGUUGGUUAGAGUGUGGGGCUGAUAAUGCUAAGGUUGCCGGUUCGCUCCCUGUGUGGGACA